This 251-nucleotide ribosomal RNA is filed under the name uncultured bacterium. RNAcentral's name for it is "partial 16S ribosomal RNA". It matches the Rfam family "Bacterial small subunit ribosomal RNA", at positions 524 to 776 of the family's 1533-position model. The record is from RNAcentral.
UACGAGGGGGCGAGCGUUGUUCGGAAUUAUUGGGCGUAAAGGGUGCGUAGGCGGUUUGGUAAGUCUGAUGUGAAAUCUAUGGGCUCAACUCAUAGUCUGCAUCGGAAACUGCCGGGCUUGAGUGUGGGAGAGGUGAGUGGAAUUCCUGGUGUAGCGGUGAAAUGCGUAGAUAUCAGGAGGAACACCUGUGGCGAAAGCGGCUCACUGACCAUAACUGACGCUGAUGCACGAAAGCUAGGGGAGCAAACAGG